GGCGGCAGGCCUWACACAUGCAAGUCGAACGGUAACAGGAAGCAGCUUGCUGCUUUGCUGACGAGUGGCGGACGGGUGAGUAAUGUCUGGGAAACUGCYUGAUGGAGGGGGAUAACUACUGGAAACGGUAGCUAAUACCGCAUAACGUCGCAAGACCAAAGAGGGGGACCUUCGGGCCUCUUGCCAUCGGAUGUGCCCAGAUGGGAUUAGCUAGUAGGUGGGGUAACGGCUCACCUAGGCGACGAUCCCUAGCUGGUCUGAGAGGAUGACCAGCCACACUGGAACUGAGACACGGUCCAGACUCCUACGGGAGGCAGCAGUGGGGAAUAUUGCACAAUGGGCGCAAGCCUGAUGCAGCCAUGCCGCGUGUAUGAAGAAGGCCUUCGGGUUGUAAAGUACUUUCAGCGGGGAGGAAGGCG
Molecule: ribosomal RNA, 419 nt
Filed under: Escherichia coli
Lineage: Bacteria; Pseudomonadati; Pseudomonadota; Gammaproteobacteria; Enterobacterales; Enterobacteriaceae
Description: bacterial SSU rRNA
Rfam family: Bacterial small subunit ribosomal RNA
Source: RNAcentral